UGGGGAAUAUUGGACAAUGGGCGCAAGCCUGCUCCAGCCAUGCCGCGUGAGUGAUGAAGGCCCUAGGGUUGUAAAGCUCUUUCACCGGCGAAGAUAAUGACGGUAACCGGAGAAGAAGCCCCGGCUAACUUCGUGCCAGCAGCCGCGGUAAUACGAAGGGGGCUAGCGUUGUUCGGAUUUACUGGGCGUAAAGCGCACGUAGGCGGACUAUUAAGUCAGGGGUGAAAUCCCGGUGCUCAACCCCGGAACUGCCUUUGAUACUGGUAGUCUUGAGUUCGAGAGAGUUGGGUGGAAUUCCGGGUGUAGAGGUUAAAAUCGUAGAUAUUCGGGGGAACACCAGUGGCGAAGGCGGCUCACUGGCUCAAUACUGACGCUGAGGUGCGAAAGCGUGGGGAGCAAACAGG
This 404-nucleotide ribosomal RNA is filed under the name Actinomycetes bacterium. RNAcentral describes it as "Actinobacteria bacterium partial 16S ribosomal RNA". It matches the Rfam family "Bacterial small subunit ribosomal RNA", at positions 355 to 776 of the family's 1533-position model. Lineage: Bacteria; Bacillati; Actinomycetota; Actinomycetes. The record is from RNAcentral.